GCCUGGGUGGCUCAGUCAGUUGAGCGUCUGACUUCAAACUCAGGUCAUGAUCUCACAGCUCGUGGGUUUGAGCCCCGCAUCAGGCU
RNAcentral lists this transfer RNA (86 nucleotides) under Felis catus (domestic cat). It matches the Rfam family "tRNA". Rfam says of the family: Transfer RNA (tRNA) molecules are approximately 80 nucleotides in length. Their secondary structure includes four short double-helical elements and three loops (D, anti-codon, and T loops). Further hydrogen bonds mediate the characteristic L-shaped molecular structure. tRNAs have two regions of fundamental functional importance: the anti-codon, which is responsible for specific mRNA codon recognition, and the 3' end, to which the tRNAs corresponding amino acid is attached (by aminoacyl-tRNA synthetases). tRNAs cope with the degeneracy of the genetic code in two manners: having more than one tRNA (with a specific anti-codon) for a particular amino acid; and 'wobble' base-pairing, i.e. permitting non-standard base-pairing at the 3rd anti-codon position. The record is from Rfam by way of RNAcentral. Lineage: Eukaryota; Metazoa; Chordata; Mammalia; Carnivora; Felidae. RNAcentral also lists the same sequence under 2 other names.